This 1875-nucleotide long non-coding RNA is filed under the name Monodelphis domestica (gray short-tailed opossum). RNAcentral describes it as "lncRNA (ENSMODG00000035419.2)". The record is from RNAcentral. Lineage: Eukaryota; Metazoa; Chordata; Mammalia; Didelphimorphia; Didelphidae.
UUUCACAGUUAGUUAGUCUUUAACACUUAGUAAGAAACUUUUUUCUUGAAAAGGAAGUUCAUACCUUAAAAGACCACAAGCACUAUCCCCUACUCCCACAACAGUGCUAGGCAAAUUGGGAGACUGUGAUUGAUUCCUGAGAGAUGACGAGGAGUGCUAAUGGGUAGAGAAAACUGUGUAUAAGCAGAAGCUUCUGGAACCAUGGAAGUUUUUUGUGUUUUUUUUUUUUUUUGGUGGGGGGUUUGAUCUUGUGGCAGCUCAGCUUGAUUAGGCAUUCAAUCCUGCCUUGGUUUCAGGUUUGGUGGAUUGAGGAGUUUGGCUUGAUUUUCAUGGGUUGAAGAGACUUUUGCAGACUUCCACCUGGCAUUUGGAAGCUGGAGGGUGAGACUCUCCUGCUCUUCUGGCCAGAGAUUGGAACUUUGUUGGGGAGUGAGCUAGAUUUCUUCAGAGUAGACUUAGAGUUGUAGGCUAGAAAAUUCCUUAUUUCCUUCCUACAUUUCCCUUUCUUACUAUCACUAUUUUUUCUGUACUAAAGCUAUUAAAACUACCAAUAGUCUCCUGACUUAAUAUUUGAUAUUAUAAACAGUGAACACAAUUUAUAUUUGUCAAAUACCCUUUAAUUAUUAUUCAAGCUUCAGGUUCUUUGUGUAGCUGCCUAAGGAUAAGUGUCUUUAACACUUUCCCAGCCUGUGCUUUUGUCUCUGGGUAACUCCAAGCACUCUUUUCUUCUUUGGAACUAUGACCACAGUCUCCUACUCCCCUGUAUUAGCAAGGGAUGGUAUGUACUAGUGUUUCUCUUCACCCCAAGACCAAUGCCCAGGACUUUUUCCCUGAUCUACUAACUAUAAAAAGGCAUAUUAGUUAGCAGAUAUUGAUAUUGUUGGCUGCUGUUUUAGUAUAAAUAAUGUCUGAGAUGUCUUCUAUUUCAGAUGCUUUGCAUGUUGAUCCUUGAGCAUCUUCACAAUUGUGUCUCCUUUAGUAUAGAUGUCUUCCAUAUAUUUUAGGUCCAAUAUAGUGAUUUUUCUAAUCUUUGUUCUUUUUUUUUUAACUGUGUCACCUCCCCAGGACUGCCUUACCAAUUUGCAUUGGAUUAGAAUAUUGAGAUCCCAGAGGAUGUCUAACUACUCCUCUUUGGAUUCUAUAGGGUUUACUUCUGAGCAAGCUGUAGUCAAUGGACAAGUCUCUUCCUUUUUGAUCUUGACUGCCUCCUUACUGGGUCAAGAUUAUGAUGAAUCCAAUCCGUGAAGCGGGAGAAGCAGGAGUUAAUGAACAUUCGAGGGGCUGAAGAGUCUGCAUUUGGGACGCAAGUUCUGUCACUUUCAGUUAUCAUGAUGCUAAGAAAUGAAAUGUAGGUGAGCAGCUUGGUGGCAAUUCACUGAAAUGGUUUUCUGUGGGAAAAUGUGACCUAAAAGUGAACUAGCAGAGCCAUUUUUUUUUUGUGGGAAUGGGGGAGGUUUGCCCAGUAGAACCUAUACAUAUUUUAUGACAUAUUAGAAGAUGGUGAACUAAGCAGGAAUUGUGACAGAAUGAACUUUCUUUACUAUGUUUUGUAGAGCAUGAAGGUCACAGCUGUGUAUGACUGCUUGAAUCGACAGACUGUUUUCCCCUGUGUGCAGCCCAAUGCAUUGGUUUUAACCUGUAAAAUCCUAUUAGGUCUGACUCUUUGUUGUCUCUGAGAUUUUCCUUUUUCCCUAUCUUUGAAAAACGUUAAGAUCUGCCACAGGCUUUUUUUAUGCUUCAAAUAUUUAUUUGCUUUCCAAAGUGUUGGAGUUAGGAUAUUUUUCACCGUUUGCUUUAGUUUUAGAAUUCUCUCAUUCUAAUAUGAGGUUGAGUCAGUAGGACUUCAAAGUAGGAUUUCUUUUUUCUGAUGGUUGG